RNAcentral lists this ribosomal RNA (524 nucleotides) under uncultured bacterium. RNAcentral describes it as "bacterial SSU rRNA". It matches the Rfam family "Bacterial small subunit ribosomal RNA", at positions 777 to 1301 of the family's 1533-position model. The record is from RNAcentral.
AAUAGAUACCCGGGUAGUCCAUGCCGUAAACGAUGUCUACUAGCCGUUGGGGCCCUUGAGGCUUUAGUGGCGCAGCUAACGCGAUAAGUAGACCGCCUGGGGAGUACGGUCGCAAGACUAAAACUCAAAUGAAUUGACGGGGGCCCGCACAAGCGGUGGAGCAUGUGGUUUAAUUCGAUGCAACGCGAAGAACCUUACCUGGCCUUGACAUACAGAGAACUUUCCAGAGAUGGAUUGGUGCCUUCGGGAACUCUGAUACAGGUGCUGCAUGGCUGUCGUCAGCUCGUGUCGUGAGAUGUUGGAUUAAGUCCCGCAACGAGCGCAACCCUUUUCCUUAUUUGCCAGCACUUCGGGUGGGAACUUUAAGGAUACUGCCAGUGACGAACUGGAGGAAGGCGGGGACGACGUCAAGUCAUCAUGGCCCUUACGGCCAGGGCUACACACGUGCUACAAUGGUCGGUACAAAGGGUUGCUACUGCGCGAGCAGAUGCUAAUCUCAAAAAGCCGAUCGUAGUCCGGAUCGC